This 322-nucleotide unclassified non-coding RNA is filed under the name Hevea brasiliensis (rubber tree). The record is from RNAcentral. Lineage: Eukaryota; Viridiplantae; Streptophyta; Magnoliopsida; Malpighiales; Euphorbiaceae.
CGGGCGGCGGCGACGAGGGAAAGGUGGCCAGCGUGGAGGUAGCCCAUGGUGGGCACGAGGGCGAUUGUCUUGCCGUGGUAGUGCUGGUGGCGGGACCAGGAGCGCAUCGCAUCCUUGUCGGUGAUCACCAACGGUGGAUCCUCGGCGAUGACGGUGGCAGCGGCCAUUGGUGAGCGAGGGAGAAGGGGAUUGGGGAGGGAGGUGAUCACCAUCGGUGGAUCCUCGGCGGUGGCAGUGGCGGUCAUUGAUGAGCGAGGGAGAAGGGGAUUGGAGAAGGAGGUGAUCACCAACGGUGGCUCCUCGGCGGUGGUGGUGCCGGCGG